GUUAGUGUGGCAGAGUCCGGACAUUGCAAAAGACCUAAGCUCUUUCGACAGGGGUUCAAAUCCUCUCACCAACU
This 74-nucleotide transfer RNA is filed under the name Ceratoscopelus maderensis. RNAcentral describes it as "tRNA-Leu (UUR)". It matches the Rfam family "tRNA". Rfam says of the family: Transfer RNA (tRNA) molecules are approximately 80 nucleotides in length. The record is from RNAcentral. Lineage: Eukaryota; Metazoa; Chordata; Actinopteri; Myctophiformes; Myctophidae. RNAcentral also lists the same sequence under 1 other name.